Molecule: long non-coding RNA, 927 nt
Organism: Pollicipes pollicipes
Lineage: Eukaryota; Metazoa; Arthropoda; Thecostraca; Pollicipedomorpha; Pollicipedidae
Exons: 2
Source: RefSeq, a predicted model, not a curated record
AGGUCACAGCGCCAUGCACAGGGGGGAGACAAAGUGCCCUGUGUGUGACCGGGUCUUCAGCCACAAGGGCAACAUGAAAGCGCACUUGAAAAACGUACACAAACGGAUGUAGCACAGUGUGGUGAUGGGGAGAGAGGCGCCUCGGCUGGCUCGCGGAUGAGCGCGUGGAGCUGUGAAGAAUGCGACAAAACAUUCACCCAGAGGGAGUCGCUGAGGCAGCACCGUGCCGUUCACAGGGGCGAAACGCGGUGUCCUAUCUGUUUGAAAGUGUUCAGCACCGUGUACAAUUUACAGAUGCACAUGCGCUGCGUUCACGUUGUCAAUUCAAAUUCGUAGUCGUAGACCGAGACCCGGCGCUCCCCUUCAGAACCUCUCAUCGGCGGAUAUAACAACAGGCGUACCGUGACAACCAUAUUAUCCUGGAUCCAGCUUCUAAGUUUUGUGCUGUAUCUAAGUAUUUUGCAUUUUGCUGCAUUUUACACAAGCAAGCGCCUUUUUUCGGCCCGUGUUCGUAAUUUCUUCGUCAUUGUUCGUCAUCGAAGACCAGGACUAUUUGAGACCUAAGUGCGUGCGCGUAACGGUAUCUCCAGUAUAGAUUGCUCUUGGGUUUGUAAAGAUUUUCAUCUGCUUGCACCCAUUUUAGACCCAUGUGUGUAUUUUAGUCCAUCUAGCAUGUCUAUGGGCGAAAACGAAAGACAUGACCAAAUACCCGAUCACUUGCGUCGUUCUUUUUUUGGCCUUUUGCUUGGUGCUUCAUACUUCAUUAUAACAUUUGGGCCGGUAGUGAAAGAUUGGUGUCUUGUGAAAUGGUUAUAAUGGCUUUUUCCAUCCGGCAUUUUUGUUUUCGUAAAUCCACGGUCAUAGGUCGUAUGUGAAGCUUCGGCGUGCUUUGCACUGCGCUCAAUAAACAGUAGCCUAGGUCGAGAA